Carassius gibelio (silver crucian carp) is the source of this 897-nucleotide long non-coding RNA. RefSeq lists it as uncharacterized. The record is from RefSeq and is a predicted model, not a curated record. The transcript is spliced from 3 exons. Lineage: Eukaryota; Metazoa; Chordata; Actinopteri; Cypriniformes; Cyprinidae.
UCUGUAUUUAUGGUGCUAUAUCAGGCAAGCAACUCAAUAGUACCGUGGCACUUCGUGAGCGAUAAGGCCUGUAAAGAUUAUGAUGACAAGUGAAUAAGAGAUAACUGAUCGAUAUGGCAAACUAAAUGAGGGGAUCAUUGAAUGCUGGGUCGUGCUUCCAGAUGGCUAAUGUUUACUUCCUCUAUGUCUCAAUCUGCUCUCAUUAAAACAUUCUCUCGGAGCGUGGCCUCCGGAUGGCAACUGCGAGGAAGACAGGUCACUAAUGAAACACACUGAUCACUGAACUCCUUAGUACAGACUUCAGACGUUCUUGCUCCCACUGAACAUCAAGAUGCUCUUUGGACUGAAAGAAUGGAAGAUUUCUCAAAUCAUGCAGGAGAAGAUGAUCGUCAGGUUUCACACAAAUAUGCAACAUUUAUUCAGCUCAUGUGCUGCUGUCAUUAAAGCAAAAAAUGGGUCAAAGCAAAUUCUAAGACACGCUGAAUUAUCCAGUCCAGCUUUUUAAGUCAAAUUGUAAUGCCGAUAAUAUCAUUUGUUUGAAGAAGAAAAAAAAAACACUUUUGGGCCACUUUUUCAUUUGGUCAAAUUCUUUAGACCGAUAUAUAAUCAUUAGAAGUCAGAGCCAUAAGUCAUGGCUUGGACCAAAUAUAAUACAUAAGAGAUAAUAUAGGUGACUUCAACAUUGUAAAAUGCUAGCAAAUUCCCACUUCUUCUUUUUUUUUUUUUUUUUUUUAAAUACAAAGCGUGUGGAGUGAGGUGAAAAGUAUACCAUUGGCUCUUUUCAGCCUUUUCAGUGGCUCUAUUAUAAAUGGCAGAGUCAGUCAAAAGCUCUUCCAAAUAGCCCUUAUCUCCCAGUUUCAGCCUGCUGUCCAUAAUAUAAGCUGUCAUUUCACAAGG